UACGUAGGGGGCAAGCGUUGUCCGGAAUCAUUGGGCGUAAAGAGCGUGUAGGCGGCCCGGUAAGUCCGCUGUGAAAGUCCAGGGCUCAACCCUGGGAUGCCGGUGGAUACUGUCGGGCUCGAGUCCGGAAGAGGAGUGUGGAAUUCCAGGUGUAGCGGUGAAAUGCGUAGAUAUCUGGAAGAACACCGGUGGCGAAGGCGGUCAACUGGCCCUAAACUGACGCUCAGGCACGAAAGCGUGGGGAUCAAACAGG
RNAcentral lists this ribosomal RNA (253 nucleotides) under uncultured bacterium. Its description in RNAcentral is "partial 16S ribosomal RNA". It matches the Rfam family "Bacterial small subunit ribosomal RNA", at positions 524 to 776 of the family's 1533-position model. The record is from RNAcentral.